Molecule: unclassified non-coding RNA, 146 nt
Filed under: soil metagenome
Description: partial internal transcribed spacer 1
Source: RNAcentral
UAAUAAGUGUUUUAUGGCAUCUUUUUAAAUCCAUAUCCACCUUGUGUGCAAUGUCAGUCGAUCUUCUUCAUGGAGAUCGACCAAACAUCAACCUUUAUCUUUUAACUCUUUGUCUGAAAAAUAUUAUGAAUAAACAAUUCAAAAUA